CGGGCAUCCUGCUGCUGUUCUCCGGGAUGAUGGGGACACUGUUGGGACCGCCUCUGCUAAAGAGGAGGAAGGAAUGGGCAACGGUAGGUCAGCAUGCCCCGAAUUACCCGGGCUACACGCGGGCUACAAUGGGCAGGACAAUGGGUAUCGACACCGAGAGGUGAAGGCAAUCCCCUAACCCUGUCCUUAGUUCGGAUUGUGGGCUGCAACUCGCCCACAUGAAGCUGGAAUCCGUAGUAAUCGCGUCUCAAAAUGGCGCGGUGAAUAUGUCCCUGCUCCUUGCACAA
RNAcentral lists this ribosomal RNA (287 nucleotides) under uncultured archaeon. RNAcentral's name for it is "partial 16S ribosomal RNA". It matches the Rfam family "Archaeal small subunit ribosomal RNA", at positions 1053 to 1343 of the family's 1478-position model. The record is from RNAcentral.